RNAcentral lists this ribosomal RNA (439 nucleotides) under uncultured bacterium. RNAcentral describes it as "partial 16S ribosomal RNA". It matches the Rfam family "Bacterial small subunit ribosomal RNA", at positions 339 to 795 of the family's 1533-position model. The record is from RNAcentral.
CUACGGGAUGCUCCAGUGAGGAAUAUUGCACAAUGGGGGGAACCCUGAUGCAGCAACGCCGCGUGGAGGAUGACGCAUUUCGGUGUGUAAACUCCUUUUAUAUGUCAAGAAAAUGACGGUAGCAUAUGAAUAAGCACCGGCUAACUCCGUGCCAGCAGCCGCGGUAAUACGGAGGGUGCAAGCGUUACUCGGAAUCACUGGGCGUAAAGGACGCGUAGGCGGGUUGGAAAGUCAGGUGUGAAAUCCUACAGCUUAACUGUAGAACUGCACUUGAAACUUCUAAUCUAGAGUAUGGGAGGGGGAGAUGGAAUUAGUGGUGUAGGGGUAAAAUCCGUAGAUAUCACUAGGAACUACUAAAGUGAAGGCGAUCUCCUGGAACAUUACUGACGCUAAGGCGCGAAAGCGUGGGGAGCAAACAGGAUUAGAUACCCGAGUAGUC